This 254-nucleotide ribosomal RNA is filed under the name uncultured Actinomycetales bacterium. Its description in RNAcentral is "partial 16S ribosomal RNA". It matches the Rfam family "Bacterial small subunit ribosomal RNA", at positions 79 to 334 of the family's 1533-position model. The record is from RNAcentral. Lineage: Bacteria; Bacillati; Actinomycetota; Actinomycetes; Actinomycetales.
UUUGUGGGGUGCUCGAGUGGCGAACGGGUGAGUAACACGUGAGUAACCUGCCCUUGACUUUGGGAUAACUUCAGGAAACUGGGGCUAAUACCGGAUAGGAGCUCCUGCUGCAUGGUGGGGGUUGGAAAGUUUCGGCGGUUGGGGAUGGACUCGCGGCUUAUCAGCUUGUUGGUGGGGUAGUGGCUUACCAAGGCUUUGACGGGUAGCCGGCCUGAGAGGGUGACCGGCCACAUUGGGACUGAGAUACGGCCCAG